CCUACGGGUGGCAGCAGUGGGGAAUAUUGCACAAUGGGGGAAACCCUGAUGCAGCGACGCCGCGUGAGUGAAGAAGUAAUUCGUUAUGUAAAGCUCUAUCAGCAGGGAAGAAAAUGACGGUACCUGAGUAAGAAGCCCCGGCUAACUACGUGCCAGCAUCCGCGGUAAUACGUAGGGGGCAAGCGUUAUCCGGAUUUACUGGGUGGAAAGGGAGCGUAGACGGCAGGGCAAGUCUGGAGUGAAAGGCGGGGGCUCAACCCCCGGACUGCUCUGGAAACUGUACGGCUGGAGUGCAGGAGAGGUAAGUGGAAUUCCUAGUGUAGCGGUGAAAUGCGUAGAUAUUAGGAGGAACCCCAGUGGCGAAGGCGGCUUACUGGACUGUAACUGACGUUGAGGCUCGAAAGCGUGGGGAGCAAACAGGAUUAGAUACCCUAGUAGUC
This 440-nucleotide ribosomal RNA is filed under the name uncultured bacterium. RNAcentral describes it as "partial 16S ribosomal RNA". It matches the Rfam family "Bacterial small subunit ribosomal RNA", at positions 338 to 795 of the family's 1533-position model. The record is from RNAcentral.